UACACAUGCAAGUCGAGCGGAGNGAGGUGCUUGCACCUUAUCUUAGCGGCGGACGGGUGAGUAAUGCUUAGGAAUCUGCCUAUUAGUGGGGGACAACAUUCCGAAAGGAAUGCUAAUACCGCAUACGUCCUACGGGAGAAAGCAGGGGAUCUUCGGACCUUGCGCUAAUAGAUGAGCCUAAGUCGGAUUAGCUAGUUGGUGGGGUAAAGGCCUACCAAGGCGACGAUCUGUAGCGGGUCUGAGAGGAUGAUCCGCCACACUGGGACUGAGACACGGCCCAGACUCCUACGGGAGGCAGCAGUGGGGAAUAUUGGACAAUGGGGGGAACCCUGAUCCAGCCAUGCCGCGUGUGUGAAGAAGGCCUUAUGGUUGUAAAGCACUUUAAGCGAGGAGGAGGCUACUGAGACUAAUACUCUUGGAUAGUGGACGUUACUCGCAGAAUAAGCACCGGCUAACUCUGUGCCAGCAGCCGCGGUAAUACAGAGGGUGCGAGCGUUAAUCGGAUUUACUGGGCGUAAAGCGUGCGUAGGCGGCUUUUUAAGUCGGAUGUGAAAUCCCCGAGCUUAACUUGGGAAUUGCAUUCGAUACUGGGAAGCUAGAGUAUGGGAGAGGAUGGUAGAAUUCCAGGUGUAGCGGUGAAAUGCGUAGAGAUCUGGAGGAAUACCGAUGGCGAAGGCAGCCAUCUGGCCUAAUACUGACGCUGAGGUACGAAAGCAUGGGGAGCAAACAGGAUUAGAUAC
RNAcentral lists this ribosomal RNA (740 nucleotides) under uncultured Acinetobacter sp. Its description in RNAcentral is "bacterial SSU rRNA". It matches the Rfam family "Bacterial small subunit ribosomal RNA", at positions 50 to 785 of the family's 1533-position model. The record is from RNAcentral. Lineage: Bacteria; Pseudomonadati; Pseudomonadota; Gammaproteobacteria; Moraxellales; Moraxellaceae.